GCCUAAAGCGUCCGUAGCCUGUUCUAUAAGUUUCCGGUUAAAUCCACUAGCUCAACUAAUGGGCUGCCGAAAAUACUGUAGAACUAGGGAGUGGGAGAGGUAGACGGUACUCGGGAGGAAGUGGUAAAAUGCUUUGAUCUCUCGAUGACCACCUGUGGCGAAGGCGGUCUACCAGAACACGUCCGACGGUGAGGGAUGAAAGCUGGGGGAGCAAACCGGAUUAGAUACCCGGGUAGUCCCAGCUGUAAACUAUGCAAACUCAGUGAUGCAUUGGCUUGAUGCCAAUGCAGUGUUGCAGGGAAGCCGUUAAGUUUGCCGCCUGGGAAGUACGUACGCAAGUAUGAAACUUAAAGGAAUUGGCGGGGGAGCACCACAAGGGGUGAAGCCUGCGGUUCAAUUGGAGUCAACGCCAGAAAUCUUACCCGGAGAGACAGCAGAAUGAAGGUCAAGCUGAAGACUUUACCAGACAAGCUGAGAGGUGGUGCAUGGCCGUCGCCAGCUCGUGCCGUGAGAUGUCCUGUUAAGUCAGGUAACGAGCGAGAUCCUUGCCUCUAGUUGCCACCAUUACUCUCAGGAGUAGUGGGGCGAAUUAGCGGGACCGCCACAGUUAAUGUGGAGGAAGGAAGGGGCCACGACAGGUCAGUAUGCCCCGAA
This 654-nucleotide ribosomal RNA is filed under the name uncultured archaeon. Its description in RNAcentral is "bacterial SSU rRNA". It matches the Rfam family "Archaeal small subunit ribosomal RNA", at positions 508 to 1160 of the family's 1478-position model. The record is from RNAcentral.